This 253-nucleotide ribosomal RNA is filed under the name uncultured bacterium. RNAcentral describes it as "partial 16S ribosomal RNA". It matches the Rfam family "Bacterial small subunit ribosomal RNA", at positions 524 to 776 of the family's 1533-position model. The record is from RNAcentral.
UACGGAGGUGGCGAGCGUUGUUCGGAAUUACUGGGCGUAAAGGGCGCGUAGGCGGGCGGAGAAGUCGGGUGUGAAAGCCCUCGGCUCAACCGAGGAAUGGCGCUCGAGACUCUUCUUCUUGAGUCCCGGAGAGGCGGGUGGAAUUCCUGGUGUAGCGGUGAAAUGUGUAGAGAUCAGGAGGAACACCGGUGGCGCAGGCGGCCCGCUGGACGGAGACUGACGCUGAGGCGCGAAAGCGUGGGGAGCAAACGGG